RNAcentral lists this ribosomal RNA (2587 nucleotides) under Triticum aestivum (bread wheat). RNAcentral's name for it is "partial small subunit ribosomal RNA". The record is from RNAcentral. Lineage: Eukaryota; Viridiplantae; Streptophyta; Magnoliopsida; Poales; Poaceae.
CAUACUCCCAGGUCCGGUUCAACCUCCCGUGCGACCCACAACAUGCCUCGCCUCCUGUACCACCCACGGCGUGCCUCCUCAUAAAAUUAGGUGAGAUAAUUAUUUAAGUUGUUGGAACAAAAUCCUUUUUUAUAGGAAUACAGAACGUCAGCCUUGAAGCUAAUCUCAUCGAUCUAUUAUUCUCGCGCAUGCCUCGCUCAGACGGCGGCUGACCUAAUUCUUGUAGCUUCGUCGCCGCGGACGGCGGCUCCCUGCAUGCAUCGGCAUGAAACAAGACGACGCCCCCGUUUUUGCCCAGCAGGUCUCCGACGUCGAGCGCUCUCCACCGGCCACUCCCCCCGUCAGAAUCAGCCAUGACUCACAUGGGGUCUCCGGUGUUGAGCGCUCUCCACCGGCCACUCCCCCCGUCAGAAUCAGCCACGACUCACACGGGUGUCUCCACUCCCAGCCAUACACGUCCAGGAAAGGCACCUUGUCACGCAGCGCUACUCGUGUCAUUGAUAAAUACCGCCGCAAGAGAGCCACAAAUAAGUCGACGAAAGGCAAUGCAACUAGCACCAGAAUAAAUUCAAGAUGCCAACCAAAGUGUGUCAUUAGUUUGAUUAACGGUUUUGAUGACAUGAAAAAGGAUCUUGUCCGUCAAACAGGGCUUCACGGCAUCCUUCAGCUGAAGUUAACUAAAGUUAACAGACAGUAUGGCGCCUGGCUUCUGAGCAAGAUUGAUGUUGAUUCAUGUGCCAUCGUAGCUGAUGUUCAUAAAGUGGUUCCCUUCUCUGCGAGGGACGUUAAUUCAGUCUUGGGUGUACCAUGCAGCGGGAGAACCAUUGAGACCUGUAACCAAGAUGAGGUAGAAAGGAGUAAGAGGAUUCUUUGUGAUAUUUUUGAGGUUCCACACUUUUCACAGGUUACUGUUAAAUUGUUGGAGACAAUUCUUAAUAAACAAUAUUCAUAUCCGAUGAGCUUAAAGGACCAAUGAUCGUUCAAGGCGGCAUUUGUCCUUUAUGUCAUGACAAAGUUCUUGGCUCCGCAAUCACUGGCAAACUACAUUUCCACAAGGUAUAUCAGCGCAGUAGCUGAUAUUGACAAUAUCUCAUCAUACAACUGGGCACAGUUCAUCGUCGACGACCUCUUGAAUUCUGCCAGCUUGAUGCCCAAACGAUUUCAUAAUUCUUCUCAAGUAUCAAUUAACGGGUGUAUACUAUUCCUCCAGACAAUUUAUCUGGACCAUAUUAUGCCAUCAAAUGACGAUGUCAACUGUGAAACCAGUCCUAGGAUUGCGGCAUUUGAUGAUGACCUCGUCACCCGCAUUAUCAUGAAUGACAUGAAGUGCAAACACAACAUUGGGUUCCCUUUCCCUCAGUUUGGGAAGCUGCAGCUCAUGAAACCACCAAGUAUUUACUCCCGUGCACCAGAAGAGGGCUCUCAAGAAAAUCAUCAUUCGACUCCGAGCGCAACCAUUAACCAACCACGUGUCUCCAACAUUUCAGAAUACUUGCAGACACGUUUCAAAUCAACUAAAUUACGGUCGAUAUAUGGAGAAGAGGCUUCUUCUUCCAUUAAGGAUGCAAUCACCAGUGCUGAAGGACAAUUUUCAUCUAUUUUGCAAGAUAUUUCAGAUUUUGAAAACUUUUCUCACAAUCCAGUAGCCAUUGAAGCAACUCAAAAACUUAACAAAAUUCUGGUUACUACUGUUUUCAAUUCGAUAAAAAUUGCAGUAAGGGCCACCCUUCGUAAUGUUCUUUCGGACAACCACAAUAGGUCCGGCGGUCUGGGCAGUCAUGGUGCACUUCAUUCGAACCCCCCAUCAGGCCUUACCCCACCAUCCUUCAGCAAGUAUACUGCUUCACCAUGCCAACAUACAAGCACGCUUGACAGGGAUCAUCCACAACCGGCAUCUCAAGGCAACAUUGGUUCAUGUAGCACAACAAGUAAUAUGUACAACAAUCUAGCAUCCCGCACUCCACCAACCACUCAUAAUGCUUCUGCCUCACCAAGCAAGCAGAAAUCGUCAAUCUCCCCAGCAUCUGCUGCUCGCCUGGCACAAGAGUGGACCGUCGCACUAAGUGCCGAGGAUACCAAUGGAGAUGAACAACAACGUAGAUACAUAGUACAAAACCCACCAUCCCACCUUCUAAGAGAUAAAAACACCCGAAAAAUAAAUCGAAACAAGAAACUUUUGUCCCCCUUUCAGACCAAGCAAUGCUCAAUAACACGUAUUGAUACGCGGGUAGCCCGCUCAACUUAUUCGUACAUUCAAGAAAUAUCAAAUGAAGCCUUGUUGGAUGAAGUAUGGCUUCAAAGUUCUUGUCCGUUCAACAUCUCCAUAAAGUUACGCACUCUCCAGCAAUCCAUUGCUCGUCGUGGCUGGAUGGAUACCGACUGCUUAAAUUUUGCGAUCCGCAAAAUGUUCUUCGAUGAUGUGGAGCGGUUCGAGGGAACAAACUGAAGGAAAUAUGCCCUAGAGGCAAUAAUAAAGUUAUUAUUUAUUUCCUUAUAAUCAUGAUAAAUGUUUAUUAUUCAUGCUAGAAUUGUAUUAACCGGAAACAUAAUACAUGUGUGAAUACAUAGACAAACAAAGUGUCACUAA